RNAcentral lists this transfer RNA (74 nucleotides) under Phycisphaerales bacterium. RNAcentral's name for it is "tRNA-Arg". It matches the Rfam family "tRNA". Rfam says of the family: Transfer RNA (tRNA) molecules are approximately 80 nucleotides in length. Their secondary structure includes four short double-helical elements and three loops (D, anti-codon, and T loops). Lineage: Bacteria; Pseudomonadati; Planctomycetota; Phycisphaerae; Phycisphaerales. The record is from RNAcentral.
GCCCCGAUAGCUCAGCUGGAUAGAGCAGCGGACUUCUAAUCCGCAGGUCGAAGGUUCGAAUCCUUCUCGGGGUG